Molecule: small nuclear RNA, 125 nt
Organism: Protopterus annectens (West African lungfish)
Lineage: Eukaryota; Metazoa; Chordata; Ceratodontiformes; Protopteridae
Product: U11 spliceosomal RNA
Exons: 1
Source: RefSeq, a predicted model, not a curated record
AAAAAGGCUAAUUCCCCCUUUGGGGAAACCCCUGAAAACCCCCCCCGGGGGAAAAAUUUUUUUGGGAAUUUUUAAAGGAAAAUUUUUUUUUUUUGGGGAAAAAAAAAAAUUUUUUUUUUCCCCCC